CAGUCGCCACGGUAAUACGGAGGGGGCUAGCGUUGUUCGGAAUUACUGGGCGUAAAGCGUACGUAGGCGGCUUUGUAAGUUAGAGGUGAAAGCCCGGGGCUCAACCCCGGAAUUGCCUUUAAGACUGCAUCGCUUGAAUCGCGGAGAGGUGAGUGGAAUUCCGAGUGUAGAGGUGAAAUUCGUAGAGAUCGGGAGGAACAUCAGUGGCGAAGGCGGCCAUCUGGGACAACACUGACGCUGAGGCACGAAAGCGUGGGGAGCAAACAGGAUUAGAUACCCCCGUAGUCCCUGUCUCUUAUAC
This 301-nucleotide ribosomal RNA is filed under the name uncultured bacterium. Its description in RNAcentral is "partial 16S ribosomal RNA". It matches the Rfam family "Bacterial small subunit ribosomal RNA", at positions 509 to 807 of the family's 1533-position model. The record is from RNAcentral.